Molecule: long non-coding RNA, 1235 nt
Organism: Quercus lobata
Lineage: Eukaryota; Viridiplantae; Streptophyta; Magnoliopsida; Fagales; Fagaceae
Exons: 8
Source: RefSeq, a predicted model, not a curated record
CCCAAAACAGACAUACGCUGCAGAAAGAAAAAGAGAACCAACAAAGAGAACGAUAGAGAAAGAACAUCGGUCUGCGUAGAUGGUGGAGAGAGAAAAAUCUGAGAAGAAAGUCAGGAUUUGCCACCAUCAGACCACCGUACCCUCCGCUGGUAUGGUCUCUGCCUUUUUGUACCGAAGGCUUUUCUUGCCAGAACAGCACACACCAGAUAGAGUCCGUAAGGCAUACAGAGAUAAGCGUAUACCGUAACGGUUAAAGUUAUUGUUUUUCUUUUUUUUCGUUUUCAAAUUUGGGCAUCAACACCGUUAGGCUACAUAUCUGCCACCAUCAGAUUGUCGGAACCGGCUCCAGUACGUUUUCUUCCAUUUUUUUGCAGACCCAAAACCUAGGCAAAACGGUAAACAGAGAAGGCAUGGAGUGGGGACUGGGGAGAGAGAAAAAUCUGAGACCGUAGAAGAAGAAUAAUAGAGAUUGAAAGAGAGAUAAAUCUCAGGGCAGCCACCACCAUCACGCAGCCGGAACCGUUACAGGUAGUAUGUACUGCUCCUAGUCAUUUAAGGGGGAACAUUAAUACAUGCAAGCAUCAGGAAGCAGGCACUUUUACCAAUGCUUCAAGCUCUAGCCCCAGUUUACGCAGUUGAGAUGCUCUUAAGAUCAUCGAAGGACUGAACCUAUAAAGUUUAGAAGCUGUCUACAAAUUCCAGCAAUAGCAAAUUGAAAAGAGUUUAAUAGGGAUGGUGAAAGCUCAGCAUGCUAGGAUAAUGCCUUUGAGAAGAGUUGAUGGAUUCCUAAAAAAGAUGAGAAGCUGACAGUUUACAACUUUACAUUAAGCAACAUGGCAUUUGGAAUUGGAGUCAGAAUCCAAAACCUUAUGGUUUGGUAAGGUCUGGGAAGAGUCGUUCACUUUUCCAAAAAAGGAUUAAAAUAAAGGAGGAGCAUACUAUGGUCAAAACUAUUCGAUGGAAUGCCCUUAUGAUAGCUCUUGCAGUUGCUAUUGGCUUGCAAGAAUGAAUGGGAGGACUGCCUUUGUUAUUGCAGUGGUUCAUCUUGAAUUGGCUUGAGUUUUCACUUUUUAUUUUAUUUUUCACAUAUUAUUAAAACUAUUAUAGUUCAUGUAAAAUUAAAAUGUUUUAAUGUAUAAACUAUACUUUCAUAAGAUUUUCCCGUGCAUCGCACGGAUUAGCGACUAGUUAACUAUCAAAAAUUGAAUAGCUGGUUUACUUUUUAACUUUUUGUC